RNAcentral lists this ribosomal RNA (398 nucleotides) under uncultured bacterium. RNAcentral's name for it is "partial 16S ribosomal RNA". It matches the Rfam family "Bacterial small subunit ribosomal RNA", at positions 523 to 918 of the family's 1533-position model. The record is from RNAcentral.
AUACGUAGGGUGCGAGCGUUGUCCGGAAUUACUGGGCGUAAAGAGCUCGUAGGUGGUUUGUCGCGUCGUCUGUGAAAUUCCGGGGCUUAACUCCGGGCGUGCAGGCGAUACGGGCAUAACUUGAGUACUGUAGGGGAGACUGGAAUUCCUGGUGUAGCGGUGAAAUGCGCAGAUAUCAGGAGGAACACCGGUGGCGAAGGCGGGUCUCUGGGCAGUAGCUGACGCUGAGGAGCGAAAGCAUGGGUAGCGAACGGGAUGAGAUACCCUGGUGGUCCAUGCCGUAAACGGUGGGCGCUAGGUGUAGGGGUCUUCCACGACUUCUGUGCCGUAGCUAACGCAUUAAGCGCCCCGCCUGGGGAGUACGGCCGCAAGGCUAAAACUCAAAUGAAUGGACGGGG